AACGAACCUCCGCGGCAUGCCUAACACAUGCAAGUCGAACGAGACCUUCGGGUCUAGUGGCGCACGGGUGCGUAACGCGUGGGAACCUGCCCUUAGGUUCGGAAUAACUCCCCGUAAGGGGUCUUAAUACCGGAUAAUGUCUUCGGACCAAAGAUUUAUCGCCUUUGGAUGGGCCCGCGUUGGAUUAGCUAGUUGGUAGGGUAAAAGCCUACCAAGGCGACGUUCCAUAGCUGGUCUGAGAGGAUGAUCAGCCACACUGGGACUGAGACACGGCCCAGACUCCUACGGGAGGCAGCAGUAGGGAAUAUUGGACAAUGGGCGAAAGCCUAAUCCAGCAAUGCCGCGUGAGUGAUGAAGGCCUUAGUGUGGUAAAGCUCUUUUACCCGGGAUGAUAAUGACAGUACCGGGAAAAUAAGCUCGGGCUAACUCCGUG
RNAcentral lists this ribosomal RNA (433 nucleotides) under uncultured bacterium. RNAcentral's name for it is "partial 16S ribosomal RNA". It matches the Rfam family "Bacterial small subunit ribosomal RNA", at positions 29 to 507 of the family's 1533-position model. The record is from RNAcentral.